RNAcentral lists this transfer RNA (108 nucleotides) under Candidatus Heimdallarchaeota archaeon. RNAcentral describes it as "tRNA-Lys". It matches the Rfam family "tRNA". Rfam says of the family: Transfer RNA (tRNA) molecules are approximately 80 nucleotides in length. Lineage: Archaea; Promethearchaeati; Candidatus Heimdallarchaeota. The record is from RNAcentral.
GGGCGCGUGGCUCAGUCAGGCAGAGCGGUGGACUCUUAAUCCAUCGGUCGGGGGUUCAAUGAACCCGAGUUGUGGCUUGGGCUCGAACAUAUCCCCCCGCGCCUACCA